This 579-nucleotide ribosomal RNA is filed under the name Triticum aestivum (bread wheat). RNAcentral describes it as "partial small subunit ribosomal RNA". Lineage: Eukaryota; Viridiplantae; Streptophyta; Magnoliopsida; Poales; Poaceae. The record is from RNAcentral.
AUGCACCUAGCGCGUACUCGCCUAUGGGGCGAUGUGCUCAUACCCCGUGACCCAGCUGCCACAUCCGCCCGAACGAGACACAAUUCGAAAUGUGAACCCCCUCCUGCAGACGCAGCCUCGUCGCCAGGAAUCAGAUCGACCCUCCAUCCACAUAGCACCCGGAUCUACAGAUUUCUUCUUGAUUUGACCAAUGGAUCUUGGUGCAGAGUUAUUCACAUGGAUCUCCGGUUCAGCUUCUGUUCCCAGCCGUUCACUCCCGAGGGCUUCCCAGAUGUGGGAUUGCUAGAGAAGGAGGAGGAUGAUAUGCUAGAGGAGGAGGAGGACGACGAGUGCAUUCCUCCAAAUCUCCAGAGGUAUUCACCUUCCUCAAGCCAAGAUGUUGAGAAACAUGGUGUUACCGAUUCUGGAUCUCGAGUUCCUGAGGCCACGCAAGAUUUUUCCUACGUCCCAGAUAUUGACAACAUCGACAGCCACAGAGAGCCCUCAUCUAAUCGCAACGCACUCCAGAUCCGUGGCCUAAUAGUUAACAUCUCCAAUAUACGUAGGUUCCGACCCCCACUAGUAUCGUGGCAUUGCUAG